GACAGAUCUGAUAACAUUCCAGGUUACCAUGUGCAUCUUUAUCAAUUAUUUAAUUAUACUAUGUCACUAUUUAUACACAAAUUUGUUAGUUAUUUUAUCCAUGUGGUUAUUUUCUUUGAAAUUCAACUUAAGGUCAACACACUUAUGUUCCUUUUCUCACCAUUAAAAACAAUGUCUGCUGCCAAAACAGCAUCCAAGAUCUAUUUCCUGUCUAUGAAAGAGCUCUGGUGGAAGAAAUAGUUUCUCCCAAGAGGGCAGUCAUGCUUACGCACAACACCUUGUGACAUUUUAUUUAUGUUAGGAGCAAAACUGAUGGGACAAAAAUUCUUGACCCUAUUGGAGCAAUUUAAUUUUUGAAACAAGAUUAAUGA
RNAcentral lists this unclassified non-coding RNA (371 nucleotides) under Hevea brasiliensis (rubber tree). Lineage: Eukaryota; Viridiplantae; Streptophyta; Magnoliopsida; Malpighiales; Euphorbiaceae. The record is from RNAcentral.